Molecule: non-coding RNA, 23 nt
Filed under: Arabidopsis thaliana (thale cress)
Lineage: Eukaryota; Viridiplantae; Streptophyta; Magnoliopsida; Brassicales; Brassicaceae
Source: RNAcentral
GAGAGCUUGUACAUUUGUUGGUA